UACGUAGGGGGCAAGCGUUGUCCGGAUUUAUUGGGCGUAAAAGGCUUGUAGGUGGCCACGCCAAGUCGGAUGUGAAAUCUCCCGGCUCAACUGGGAGGGGUCAUUCGAUACUGGCGGGCUCGAGGCCGGUAGGGGGAAGUGGAAUUCCCGGUGUAGUGGUGGAAUGCGUAGAUAUCGGGAGGAACACCAGUGGCGAAGGCGGCAUCCUGGACCGAUACUGACGCUGAGGAGCGAAAGCCAGGGGAGCAAACGGG
This 254-nucleotide ribosomal RNA is filed under the name uncultured bacterium. Its description in RNAcentral is "partial 16S ribosomal RNA". It matches the Rfam family "Bacterial small subunit ribosomal RNA", at positions 524 to 776 of the family's 1533-position model. The record is from RNAcentral.